UACGUAGGGACCAAGCGUUGUUCGGAUUUACUGGGCGUAAAGGGCGCGUAGGCGGCAAUUCAAGUCAGCUGUGAAAUCUCCGGGCUUAACUCGGAACGGUCAGCUGAUACUGCUUUGCUAGAGUGCAGAAGGGGCAAUCGGAAUUCUUGGUGUAGCGGUGAAAUGCGUAGAUAUCAAGAGGAACACCUGAGGUGAAGACGGGUUGCUGGGCUGACACUGACGCUGAGGAGCGAAAGCGUGGGGAGCGAACAGG
This 253-nucleotide ribosomal RNA is filed under the name uncultured bacterium. RNAcentral describes it as "partial 16S ribosomal RNA". It matches the Rfam family "Bacterial small subunit ribosomal RNA", at positions 524 to 776 of the family's 1533-position model. The record is from RNAcentral.